GAGGACUCCCCCGUCCACACAUGAGGAAUGCAAACGCCCGCCCAGCUGAGGACGGCCAGGAGCACACCUGCCCGGGAUUGCUGGGUCACGAGACGGGGAAAGCGCUCGGAGAGGCGGGGUACCUUGCAGCAUCACCUACCAGCAAAUGGGGCAUCAGGGAGCAUGGACUCUUCUCUACUGGUUGGAGGGCGAAGAAUGCUGAUGCUUCUGAGCAAACCCAGCCCUUUAAAAACGGCCUCCGGGAGAGCUGGUGUGGAGGCCCGGCCGGGGUGACUGGAGCCUAAGGAGCAAGGGGCCAGGCUGGCCAGAAGCACGAUCAUGCGGUCAGGGGCCUGCAAACAGCUAUCUUCUCCGGUGACCAGAGCCCGCCAAGUCUGCACCUGGAAACCCAAGAAAUAUCUAGAGGAUUAAUUCCCCUUGCUGACCUGUGAGGUCGACGAGCCCUGGGGUGGACCCCAGGAGCUCAGAGUCCUGCUUGCUGCCUGCUUGCCACGUAUGUCCAUGCACAGGCAGGCCACCUGCUCAGCCUCAGCCGGGGCGGGGUGGGGGGGGUGGGUUCUGUUGCUUUGGGAUCUGGGGACAGUCUUGUGAACUGGCAUUCCUGGGUUGAGGGGGACAAAUCACAAUUUUUGGUAUUUCUUGACAAUCCCCCAGCAAGCAACCCUAAAUCCACUCAAGACAAGGCCUUGGUUCAGCCAACAUAUCUGUGGGGUGAGUGGAAAAGGUGGGGGUGGGGGCACCUGCUGAGAAGUGAGGAGCCCCAGGAGGUGAAACUGGGAUAGAGAACAUCCAGAAAAUGUGAGCUCCAGGGGCACAGCGGGGUGGGGGGGGGUGGGGGGGGAGAAGCCCUCCGAAUUCACUGGGGAGUGGAGAGUGUAUGGCCAGGUAACUGGCUCUCAGGGAGUGGGCUGGGCUCCCUCUAUUUUCAAACACAGUACAAUUUCCUGCCCAGGUGUCUUCGCCCCUCCUGCCGCUAACGAGUUCCAGCUUCUCAGGAGAGGGGAGCGUCCCGGCAAGCCCAGCACUGCUGCUCUUGACAUAACUGGGCCCAAAGACGCCCAUCCUUGGGCUCCACAAGUGCAGCUGGGCUCCCAGAACCUUCACCACACACAAAUUUGGGAGACCCUGUAUUCUGAGUUCCAACCUGCGCAGGACUACCUCAGUUAAUCCUCCACCAAAAAAAGAAAGGAAAAAAGGAAAGAAAUUGUAAAAAUAUAUGCAAAUCAGUUCACUGGCCCAACAGAACUGUUUUAAUAAUCCACUCUCGUUUCAAGAGGAUGGGGGAGGACAUCCCAACUGGACCCCAGGAAGCCCUUCCUGUCCCAGAGCGGCCAGGCGGGUGAGGAGGGCUGGCUUGGCGGCCGCUGCCCGAUGCACACUGCAAGAACAAUAAGGAUUUUUAGGGGCAUUAUGACUGAGUCAGAAAACACAGCUGCCCCUGAAAGUCCCUCAUUUUUCUUGCUGUCCUUGAACACUCUCCAGGUAAGUAAGCAGUCAACCGGCUGGCCCAGGGGAGCCGAGGUGGAGAUGGCAUCCCCUCACCCGACGGCCCCUGAAGGCUCUGUGGUGGGUAGGGUGGCUGCCGGGUCUUCACGGUGGCACAACUCCCUCCGGUGUUGGGCCUGGAGGGUGGCCAGCCUCACUGCCCCCACAGCACGCCCAGGAAUGACCAGCCUUUGCUCCACCCCGAGCCAACUCUAAAGCCAGUGCUUUCUGCCCACAAAGUGCGGUGGACUGGAAUGCACAGGAAUCCCAAGUGGCCGAGGGCAGUCCCAAGCACCAGGGAAUGCGAGGCAGUAAGAGAAUUUCAGCUCUGUUGUAGGAACCAAAGGAUCAGCUCUUGAAAAGCCCAGUCACAGGCCCUGUGUCCCUGGCGGGAGACAAGAGGCUACCUUGAGUGAGAAACAGCAUGCCCUGGGGGUCCGUCCAGCCUUCCCUCUGCUCUAGCACUUAACUGCCCGCUUCCUCGGAGGGAGCUCUGGAAGAGGCAACAGUGUCAGGUGGGCCUGAGCCGGAACGCAGGUCCCAGACCCCUACAAAAACAGCCUACAAUGCGCAGACGGCUGGUAUCUCCCAGAUGGUUUUCAGGUUCGAAUCAACCCGGCGACAGGCUCUGCUGGGACGCGCAGCCUUCUGCCCUGACCAAGAUCACGGCCAUACGCUCCUCCAGCAAAGCGCGAGCUGUCCCCCACAGACACAAGGACCAAAGCCAUCUGAACCAUUCGACGCUGUGACUGCACCGUGCUUCGCCUGCUCAGAAGCCCCGGCCGCAGUCUGCACACUUCCGCGGGAGCCGGUCCUGCCACCUGGGGUGCCCUGGCUCCAGUAGAGUGGGAGGGAGCGAGAGCGUGAGACCCAGCUCGCGGCUCCCCGGCCCCGCGGCCACAGGACCUCUGUUGGGCUCUCCAACCCCACUGUGCUUCAGCCGGCCCCUCUGCGAGGCCGAGACCCGGGGCACUACAGGUUUCGGGGGCAGCUGGGAGGAUUAAAGUUCAUUCUUCUCAAGGCUUAGCACUCUGCCUGGCCCAGAGCAAUCCAUCCGGGUGUACUGGUUCAGGGACUAUCUCAGACUGCUUUCACGCCGGAACAGAAGAGGAGAGCUGCCACAGACAGUAACCCUAUUUGGUCCCCUCACAGGGAAACCUCACCGCCAGCUUCUCACGAAGCACUCCUACAAAUGACUCCCAGAAAUUUCCUCAUCGCCGGAGAUUUCUAAACCCCCAGUUGGGAAAGAGGUUCUGGGCUCCACUGAUGAGCUCUGCCUAACCCAGCUCUGGGCAGAUUUCUAGGAGGGAUUUUACUCCGCGAUUGGGAAACAUGUUUCGCCUGACAAAACGUCUGGGAUAAGAAGGUGAGAGGGGAUGCUGGCGCGCGAGGGGGUCUGCACACUAGAGAGCGCCUUGGGCAGGGCCUCGCUCCCAAAGCCCGACGCCUGGAGGGGCGUGGCCAGCACCCGCGAGCGGGGCCAGGCCAAUCCUCCCAACCAACCACAGCUGCCCGCGACCUCCAGGACUAUAUUUAGUCAGGGCUGACUGCCCUUCA
Molecule: long non-coding RNA, 3042 nt
Organism: Ailuropoda melanoleuca (giant panda)
Lineage: Eukaryota; Metazoa; Chordata; Mammalia; Carnivora; Ursidae
Exons: 7
Source: RefSeq, a predicted model, not a curated record